CCUGGAGGUGGCUGCAGCCCAUGGAAAGCCCCCACAGGGGCAGGCCAAGGCCGGAACUGCAGCCUGUGGAGAGGAGCCCAUGCAGGAGCAGAGGGUCUGGGAGGAGCUGCCGCUGGUGGGGGACCCAUGCUGGAGCAGUUUGCUCCUGACAGAUG
Molecule: long non-coding RNA, 155 nt
Organism: Oxyura jamaicensis (ruddy duck)
Lineage: Eukaryota; Metazoa; Chordata; Aves; Anseriformes; Anatidae
Exons: 3
Source: RefSeq, a predicted model, not a curated record